ACUAUGAAGAGUUUGAUCCUGGCUCAGGAUGAACGCUAGCGACAGGCUUAACACAUGCAAGUCGAGGGGCAGCAUGAGGUAGCAAUACCUUGAUGGCGACCGGCGCACGGGUGAGUAACGCGUAUGCAACCUGCCCGAUACCGGGGUAU
Molecule: ribosomal RNA, 149 nt
Filed under: Odoribacter splanchnicus
Lineage: Bacteria; Pseudomonadati; Bacteroidota; Bacteroidia; Bacteroidales; Odoribacteraceae
Description: partial 16S ribosomal RNA
Rfam family: Bacterial small subunit ribosomal RNA
Source: RNAcentral